AGUGAUGUAGCGUAGCCCGGUAUCGCGCCUGCUUUGGGAGCAGGAGGUCGUAGGUUCUCCCGAAACUUCGGGACUGCCAUCCCGACAA
Molecule: transfer RNA, 88 nt
Filed under: Pedobacter changchengzhani
Lineage: Bacteria; Pseudomonadati; Bacteroidota; Sphingobacteriia; Sphingobacteriales; Sphingobacteriaceae
Description: Pedobacter sp. E01020 tRNA-Pro
Source: RNAcentral